GAUGAAGAACGUAGCAAAAUGCGAUAAGUAGUGUGAAUUGCAGAAUUUAGUGAAUCAUCGAAUAUUUGAACGCACAUUGCGCCCCCUGGCAUUCCGGAGGGCAUGCCUGUCUGAGCGUCGCGAAAAGAAGAUUGAGAGCGCGUGCCCGAGAGGGCCCGCCUCUCGGUUGGGUGCCUGUCCCAUGCUCGCUUCAACUGGCGGGUGGGACCGGCCCUGAAAUGCAUUGGCGAUGACCGCGCCCACAGCCCCAUGAGCAGUAGAUACCGCUCGAGAGGCUAGGGAGGUCGUGCUCCAGCAAGCCCACGUGGCUGACACCACACAUCAGUCUGGCCUCAGAUCAGGUAGGGAUACCCGCUGAACUUAAGCAUAUCAAUAAGCGGAGGA
Molecule: unclassified non-coding RNA, 384 nt
Filed under: soil metagenome
Description: partial contains 5.8S ribosomal RNA, internal transcribed spacer 2, and large subunit ribosomal RNA
Rfam family: 5.8S ribosomal RNA (bases 1-120)
Source: RNAcentral